UAUUUUGGUCCACAGAUUAGUUG
Molecule: non-coding RNA, 23 nt
Filed under: Arabidopsis thaliana (thale cress)
Lineage: Eukaryota; Viridiplantae; Streptophyta; Magnoliopsida; Brassicales; Brassicaceae
Source: RNAcentral